RNAcentral lists this ribosomal RNA (512 nucleotides) under uncultured bacterium. RNAcentral's name for it is "bacterial SSU rRNA". It matches the Rfam family "Bacterial small subunit ribosomal RNA", at positions 34 to 507 of the family's 1533-position model. The record is from RNAcentral.
CGCUGGCGGCGUGCCUAAUACAUGCAAGUCGAACGCACUCUCGUUAGAUUGAAGAAGCUUGCUUCUGAUUGAUAACAUUUGAGUGAGUGGCGGACGGGUGAGUAACACGUGGGUAACCUGCCCUAAAGUGGGGGAUAACAUUUGGAAACAGAUGCUAAUACCGCAUAAAACCUAGCACCGCAUGGUGCAAGGUUGAAAGAUGGUUUCGGCUAUCACUUUAGGAUGGACCCGCGGUGCAUUAGUUAGUUGGUGAGGUAAAGGCUCACCAAGACCGUGAUGCAUAGCCGACCUGAGAGGGUAAUCGGCCACACUGGGACUGAGACACGGCCCAGACUCCUACGGGAGGCAGCAGUAGGGAAUCUUCCACAAUGGACAAAAGUCUGAUGGAGCAACGCCGCGUGAGUGAAGAAGGUUUUCGGAUCGUAAAACUCUGUUGUUGGAGAAGAACGUAUUUGAUAGUAACUGAUCAGGUAGUGACGGUAUCCAACCAGAAAGCCACGGCUAACUACGUG